UUGAUGUUGAUGGACCUUCAUCUUAUUCAUUUAUUUAUAUGCGGUGCUGAGAAUCGAACCCAGUGUCUCACACAUGUGAGGCAAGUGCUCUGCCACUGAGCCACAACCCCAGGCCAACUUACUUUUUAAAAAACUGAAUAUCCGGGCUGGGGAUGUGGCUCAAGCAGUAGCAUGCUCGCCUGGCAUGCGCAGAACACUGGGUUUGAUCCUCAGCACCACAUAAAAAUAAAAUAAAGAUGUUGUGUCCAUUGAAAACUUAAAAAAAAAUCUGUUAAAAAAAACAACACCUGAAUAUCCAUGGCGUGUGCAUGUAAAUAUACACAAUAUAUUUGUAUACAUACACCAAAAAUGGUUUAUUUAGUUCUUCAUAAGUGGACACUUUGAUUUCUUCACCUCUUGGCUAUUGUGAGUAAUGCUGUUAUGAACACAUGCAACUAACUCUUUUUGAGAUGCUUUCCAUUUUUUUCCCCAUUAUUUUGGAUUUAUACCCAGAAGUGGAAUUGUUGAAUCACAUGAUUCCAUUUAAAAAUUCUUGAACGUUUUUUUUUUGUUGUUGUUGUUGUUUGUGUGUGGUACUGUGGAUUGAACCCAGGGCCUUAUUUGUGUAUGCAAGGCAAGCACUCUACCAACUGAGCUGUAUCCCCAGCCCGGAACUUUUCUGUUUUCUUUUUAAAUAUUUUUAGUUGUAAAUGGGCACAAUACCUUUUUAAAUUUAUUUUUAUGUGGUGCUGAGGAUCAAAUCCAGUGCCUCACACAUGCUAGGCAAGUGCUCUACCACUAAGCCACAACCCCAGCCCAAACUUUCCUGUUUUCUACAGCAGCUGCACCAUUUUACAUUCCCAACACUGCACCAGGGUGCAUGUUAUUAGCAACACUUAUUUUUUAUAGUAGCCAUCCUAAUUGAGGUGUUCUAUGAUUUUAACUUUUAUUUCUUUAAUAAUUAGUUAUGUUGAGCAUUUUUGUUGUUGCUGCAACUGAAGACUGACCCAGAGUCUUGUACAUGAGCUCUACAACUGAGUUACAAUCCCAUAUAUUUAUGUUUUGGUACCAGGGAUUGAACUCAGGGGUACUGAAUCACUGAGUCCCAUCCCCAGCCCCCCCUUUUUUUGGAGACAACGUCUCAGUAAGUUGCUG
This 1134-nucleotide long non-coding RNA is filed under the name Marmota monax (woodchuck). Lineage: Eukaryota; Metazoa; Chordata; Mammalia; Rodentia; Sciuridae. The record is from RNAcentral.